RNAcentral lists this ribosomal RNA (253 nucleotides) under uncultured Lachnospiraceae bacterium. RNAcentral's name for it is "partial 16S ribosomal RNA". It matches the Rfam family "Bacterial small subunit ribosomal RNA", at positions 524 to 776 of the family's 1533-position model. Lineage: Bacteria; Bacillati; Bacillota; Clostridia; Lachnospirales; Lachnospiraceae. The record is from RNAcentral.
UACGUAGGUGGCAAGCGUUAUCCGGAUUUACUGGGUGUAAAGGGAGCGUAGACGGCUAAUCAAGUCAGAAGUGAAAACCCAGGGCUCAACUUUGGGACUGCUUUUGAAACUGAGUAGCUAGAGUGCAGGAGAGGUAAGCGGAAUUCCUAGUGUAGCGGUGAAAUGCGUAGAUAUUAGGAGGAACACCAGUGGCGAAGGCGGCUUGCUGGGCCUGUACUGACAUUGAGGCACGAAAGCGUGGGGAGCAAACAGG